UGCUAAGCGUAUACGGGCGCACGACGGAUGCCUUGGCAUCAGGAGGCUAUGAAGGACGCGGAAGACUGCGAUAAGCGUCGGGGAGCUGUCAACAAGCUUUGAUCCGGCGAUUUCCGAAUGGGGCAACCCGGCUACCUUCAUCGGUAGUCAUUCAAGGAUGAAUCAAAUAGUCCUUGAAAGUCACACCAGGGGAAGUGAAACAUCUCAGUACCCUGAGGAAGAGAAAUCAAACGAGAUUGCGUAAGUAGUGGCGAGCGAAAGCGCAAUAGCCCAAACCAGAGAGCUUGCUUUCUGGGGUUGCGGGAC
This 306-nucleotide ribosomal RNA is filed under the name Kiritimatiellia bacterium. Its description in RNAcentral is "Kiritimatiellae bacterium (gut metagenome) partial 23S ribosomal RNA". It matches the Rfam family "Bacterial large subunit ribosomal RNA", at positions 1 to 306 of the family's 2925-position model. Lineage: Bacteria; Pseudomonadati; Kiritimatiellota; Kiritimatiellia. The record is from RNAcentral.